AGGAUGAACGCUAGCGGCAGGCCUAAUACAUGCAAGUCGAACGGUGGUAGCAAUACCAUAGUGGCGCACGGGUGCGUAACACGUAAUUAACCUACCUAUAACUGGGGGAUAGCCCGCCGAAAGGCGGAUUAAUACCGCAUAAGCCACGAACCCGGCAUCGGGAUUUUGGUAAAGAUUUAUUGGUUAUAGAUGGGGUUGCGGGUCAUUAGCUAGUUGGUUGGGUAACGGCUGACCAAGGCGACGAUGACUAGGGGAGCUGAGAGGCUGGUCCCCCACACGGGCACUGAGAUACGGGCCCGACUCCUACGGGAGGCAGCAGUAGGGAAUAUUGGGCAAUGGGCGAGAGCCUGACCCAGCCAUGCCGCGUGCAGGAAGAGGCUUUCUGAGCCGUAAACUGCUUUUGACAGGGAAGAAUAAGCACUACGUGUAGUGCGAUGACGUACCUGCAGAAUAAGCACCGGCUAACUCCGUGCCAGCACGCCGCGGU
This 487-nucleotide ribosomal RNA is filed under the name uncultured bacterium. Its description in RNAcentral is "SSU rRNA". It matches the Rfam family "Bacterial small subunit ribosomal RNA", at positions 26 to 521 of the family's 1533-position model. The record is from RNAcentral.